CAGCAGCCGCGGUAAUACGGAGGAUACAAGCGUUAUCCGGAAUUAUUGGGUUUAAAGGGUGUGUAGGCGGGGCUAUAAGUCAGUGGUGAAAGCUUGCGGCUUAACCGUGAAAAUGCCAUUGAUACUGUUGUUCUUGAGUUCGGCUGAGGUAGGCGGAAUGAGUAAUGUAGCGGUGAAAUGCUUAGAUAUUACUCAGAACACCGAUUGCGUAGGCAGCUUACCAAACCGACACUUACACUGAGGCACGAAAGCGUGGGGAGCGAACAGGAUUAGAUACCCUGGUAGUCCACGCCGUAAACGUUGAUUACUCGUUGUUGGCAAUACAUCGUCAGCGACUGAGCGAAAGCAUUAAGUCAUCCGCCUGGGGAGUACGCUCGCAAGGAUGAAACUCAAAGGAAUUGACGGGGGCCCGCACAAGCGGAGGAACAUGUGGUUUAAUUCGAUGAUACGCGAGGAACCUUACCUGGGCUUAAAUGUAGAGUGCAUUCCCGAGAAAUCGGGAUUUCCUUCGGGACUCUUUACAAGGUGCUGCAUGGUUGUCGUCAGCUCGUGCCGUGAGGUGUCGGGUUAAGUCCCAUAACGAGCGCAACCCUCAUCGCCAGUUGCCAUCACAUCAUGGUGGGGACUCUGGUGAAACUGCCGGUGCAAACCGUGAGGAAGGUGAGGAUGACGUCAAAUCAGCACGGCCCUUAUGUCCAGGGCUACACACGUGUUACAAUGGUCGGUACAACGGGCAGCUACACAGCGAUGUGAUGCUAAUCCCCAAAACCGAUCUUAGUUCGGAUCGGAGUCUGCAACUCGACUCCGUGAAGCUGGAUUCACUAGUAAUCGCACAUCAGCCAUGGUGCGGUGAAUACGUUCCCGGGCCUUGUACACACCGCCCGUCAAGCCAUGGAAGCCGGGAGUGCCUGAAGUCCGUAACCGCAAGGAGCGGCUUAAGGCAAACUUGGCAAUUAGGGCUAAGUCGUAACAAGGUAACCGUA
This 983-nucleotide ribosomal RNA is filed under the name uncultured bacterium EKHO-19. RNAcentral's name for it is "bacterial SSU rRNA". It matches the Rfam family "Bacterial small subunit ribosomal RNA", at positions 509 to 1504 of the family's 1533-position model. Lineage: Bacteria; Pseudomonadati; Bacteroidota; Bacteroidia; Bacteroidales; Bacteroidaceae. The record is from RNAcentral.